GCGGGAAUUCGGGAUAAAGGGGGGUGAGGAGAGGGAUUGAUGGGAAUGAGUUGGGAAUUCGGGAUAAAGGGGGGUGAGGAGAGGGAUUGAUGGGAAUGAGGUGGGAAUGAGGUGGGAAUGAGGUGGGAAUUCAGGAUAACAGGGGGCUGAGGACAGGGAUUGAUGGGAAUGAGGUGGGAAUUCGGGAUAAAGGGGAGCUGGAUUGCUGCGGGGAGAUGGGAAUGAGUUGGGAAUUCGGGAUAAAGGGGGG
Molecule: long non-coding RNA, 250 nt
Organism: Corvus hawaiiensis (hawaiian crow)
Lineage: Eukaryota; Metazoa; Chordata; Aves; Passeriformes; Corvidae
Exons: 3
Source: RefSeq, a predicted model, not a curated record